Molecule: ribosomal RNA, 805 nt
Filed under: soil bacterium Trim-S1N-M1LLLSSL-1
Lineage: Bacteria
Description: bacterial SSU rRNA
Rfam family: Bacterial small subunit ribosomal RNA
Source: RNAcentral
UGCUCUUCGAUUCAGCGGCGGACGGGUGAGUAAUGCCUAGGAAUCUGCCUGGUAGUGGGGGACAACGUUUCGAAAGGAACGCUAAUACCGCAUACGUCCUACGGGAGAAAGCAGGGGACCUUCGGGCCUUGCGCUAUCAGAUGAGCCUAGGUCGGAUUAGCUAGUUGGUGAGGUAAUGGCUCACCAAGGCGACGAUCCGUAACUGGUCUGAGAGGAUGAUCAGUCACACUGGAACUGAGACACGGUCCAGACUCCUACGGGAGGCAGCAGUGGGGAAUAUUGGACAAUGGGCGAAAGCCUGAUCCAGCCAUGCCGCGUGUGUGAAGAAGGUCUUCGGAUUGUAAAGCACUUUAAGUUGGGAGGAAGGGCAUUAACCUAAUACGUUAGUGUUUUGACGUUACCGACAGAAUAAGCACCGGCUAACUCUGUGCCAGCAGCCGCGGUAAUACAGAGGGUGCAAGCGUUAAUCGGAAUUACUGGGCGUAAAGCGCGCGUAGGUGGUUUGUUAAGUUGGAUGUGAAAGCCCCGGGCUCAACCUGGGAACUGCAUCCAAAACUGGCAAGCUAGAGUACGGUAGAGGGUGGUGGAAUUUCCUGUGUAGCGGUGAAAUGCGUAGAUAUAGGAAGGAACACCAGUGGCGAAGGCGACCACCUGGACUGAUACUGACACUGAGGUGCGAAAGCGUGGGGAGCAAACAGGAUUAGAUACCCUGGUAGUCCACGCCGUAAACGAUGUCAACUAGCCGUUGGGAAUCCUUGAGAUUUUAGUGGCGCAGCUAACGCAUUAAGUUGACGGCCUGGGGAGU